GUGCCCGUAGCUCAACUGGAUAGAGCAACGGCCUUCUAAGCCGUAGGUUACAGGUUCGAACCCUGUCGGGUGCGCCA
This 77-nucleotide transfer RNA is filed under the name Cardiobacteriaceae bacterium. Its description in RNAcentral is "tRNA-Arg". It matches the Rfam family "tRNA". Rfam says of the family: Transfer RNA (tRNA) molecules are approximately 80 nucleotides in length. Their secondary structure includes four short double-helical elements and three loops (D, anti-codon, and T loops). Further hydrogen bonds mediate the characteristic L-shaped molecular structure. tRNAs have two regions of fundamental functional importance: the anti-codon, which is responsible for specific mRNA codon recognition, and the 3' end, to which the tRNAs corresponding amino acid is attached (by aminoacyl-tRNA synthetases). tRNAs cope with the degeneracy of the genetic code in two manners: having more than one tRNA (with a specific anti-codon) for a particular amino acid; and 'wobble' base-pairing, i.e. permitting non-standard base-pairing at the 3rd anti-codon position. The record is from RNAcentral. Lineage: Bacteria; Pseudomonadati; Pseudomonadota; Gammaproteobacteria; Cardiobacteriales; Cardiobacteriaceae.